Molecule: non-coding RNA, 899 nt
Filed under: Thorius n. sp. RLM-2004
Lineage: Eukaryota; Metazoa; Chordata; Amphibia; Caudata; Plethodontidae
Source: RNAcentral
AUAAAGGUUUGGUCCUGGCCUCAAUAUUAAUUAAAACUAUAAUUAUACAUGCAAGUCUCAACACCCUAGUGAGUAAUGCCCCCAAAUACUGAUAAGUAAGAGAGGAGCCGGUAUCAGGCCCAAACCCAAAACACCUUGCCAAGCCACACCUACACAGGAAAUCAGCAGUAACAAACAUUGAACAAUAAGCGACAGCUUGAUUCAGCAAUAGUUAUCAAGAGCCGGUUAAUCUCGUGCCAGCCACCGCGGUUAUACGAAAGACUCAAAUUAAUAUAUGCGGCCCAAAGGGCAGUUAAAGAAAAUAAAUAGGAUUAAAAAAUUUCCAAGCUGUUAUACGCAAAAGAAGAUAAAAACCCCCCUACACCUAUUAACCUUGAAUCUGCCACAAUCAAGAAACACACUGGGAUUAGAUACCCCACUAUGCUUGAUUAUAAACCUUGGACUCACCCGCCAGAGCACUACGAGCCACAGCUUAAAACUCAAAGGACUUGGCGGUGCCCCACACCCACCUAGAGGAGCCUGUUCUAUAAUUGAUACUCCACAAUAAACCUCACCCCCCCUCGAAAUACAGCCUAUAUACCACCGUCGCAAGCCCACCCCACAAAGGAAAAACAGUGGGCUAAAUAAUUUUAAAUUAAAAAGUCAGGUCAAGGUGUAGCAAAUGGGGCGGGAAGAAAUGGGCUACAUUUUCUAAAAAGAAAACACGAAAUACUUUAUGAAAUAUAGUAUGAAGGAGGAUUUAGCAGUAAAGAGAAAAGAGAGAGUUCUCUUAAAACUGGCAAUGGGGCAAGCACACACCGCCCGUCACCCUCUUAUACCUAAACAUAUUAAAUAAAAAAAUACAAUAAAAAUAGAGGAAAGUCGUAACAUGGUAAGUCUACCGGAAGGUGGCCUUGGAA